This is a long non-coding RNA of Equus caballus (horse), 5010 nucleotides long. Lineage: Eukaryota; Metazoa; Chordata; Mammalia; Perissodactyla; Equidae. The record is from Ensembl.
AUAGAUAGAUAGAUAGAUAGAUAGAUGAUGCAUAGAAUGCAGUGAUAAAAUGCACCAACCUGAAAAUGUAGAGUUAAGAAAAAGAGAACAUGGAGUUUUCCACUCUGUAACCCUGAGGCAAAGGAAAAAAAAAUAUGAAUGAAAAAGCAAAGAAUGGCAAAAAUAAAGAUUUUUAUCUAGAAUCUCCCUUCCAGCAAAAGAGAAAGUGGUGCCAGCAGCAUAUUCAGCAUUUCCUGUGCAUUUGCAUAGGCCAUGUACUAGGAGACUAUUGCAAGAAGAUGAAAAUCAGUGUUGACUGUUUUAAUCCGUUAUCAACAGGCACGGAGCAUGGCGACAUUUUGAAGGGUUGCAUGUAAUCGCAAUUUCUGGGUUUUUACUUUUGUUUCUUAUGGUCCAGUCCCCGACUUUCUAUUUGAUGGAAUGCAACUCAUGAGGUUUCCUUAUUGAAAUAAAAUCCUCUGUUCUCUCCCUUGCACAGGAGCAAAGCAGGCGAGAUGUAGGACAAGUUCGUUGUCUGGAUUCAGAACCAUGGAGGGGCGGGAGUUCGGGGAUACUCCAUUUGGGAGCUAGCUGUCCUGCUUUCCCUCACCACCAGACAGGGCCACAGGAUGGCCUGGGGUUCCGGGCACUUUGGGCUGCCCAGCAAGGGUCCCCCAUAAUCGUAAGCAUUCUGUAGGCAGCGGGGAAAAUGCCCGGUGUCUCUGCAGAGAAGUGAAUCCUGGCACAUAAAGACUUCUCUCUGUUCACAGCCUGUUGCACGGGGAGGGAGAGAGGGCGAACAGGUCACUGGCUGUUCCAACUCUCCCUCUUCUCUUCCUUUUUGGUCCCCAGCUGGCAUUUGAAUGCAGUGAAAAGUGCUGGCUUGAGAGAUCAUAGAGACAUGAAUCUUUCUUGGCGAAACAGUGACAGCGUGGCCGGGAUACCCUUUCGAGUCCCUCCCAUUGGCUUCCAAAUCAGCCUUCCCACAGACUCUGACCCUUGCACCUGUUUCCAGCUUUGCAUAGGACUUCCACAUACUACUGGGCUUUUAUUUGUGCUCUACAGCAAGUCAUUGAAUGCCCACAGGAGAAAGAACCAAAUAAUGAUCCAUUAUUUAAAAAAAUGUGUCUGUGUAUUGCUUUCCCUUCCCAGAGCGAGCACACUAGGUAUUUACAUGGAAAGUACUUAAUUACGCCCCUCGUUAAUUCUACGAACUAAAGUGUGGACACGAACACUGUCUGAUCACGUGGGUGUACGCGUUGUAAGCAUUUUAACCUGCUUUACAGGAGGGGUGGUCAGACCAUGUGCUUAUUGAAUGCCACUAGACAAUAUCCAACAGCUAAAUAUACAACAUGUCAGAUGUGUUGAACAAAAGCAUGGACAUGAACAGUUUGUUGAGCGGUGGGGAGAGAGACAAAAGAGGAUCAGGUUAAUGAGAGGUAGAAGUAGCGUGUGUGUGUGUGUGUGUGUGUGGUUGAGGGUGUGUAGGUGUGUGAGUAUGUACAGGUGAGUGUGUAUGAGUGUGAGAGCAUGUGAAUGUGAGUGUGUGGACAACUGUGUGUAAGUGUAUGAGCGUGUGAGCACGCAUGCAUGUGAAUGUGUGUGUGCAAGUGUGCUCUCAGAAGAAUGGAUUUGUGCACACAUCUCACACUAUAUCUGUUUCCUCCUGAAUAAUCUCCUCCACCAUCCCCUUGGCUCUUCUGCAUCACACAAAACAUAAGAGUAUUUGUUCUCCUUAACUGCAUCUCCCCUCUUCCUACCUUGGGCAUCUCCAUCACUUCCCCCAUCACCUUCAGGGAGCAUGUGUUGACGGAUGAAUGGAUAAAGACAAUGUGAUAUGUACAUACAAUGGAAUGCUAUUCAGUCUUAAAAAGAAGGGAAAUUAUGCCAUUUGUGACAACACAGAGGGACCUGGAGGACAUUAUACUCAGGGAAAUAAGCCAGACACAGAAGGACAGGACAAAUAUUGUAUGAUCUCAUUUAUGUGGAAUCUGAAGUAGUCAAACUCACAGAAGCAGAGAGUAGAAUGGUGGGUUCCAGGGGCUGGAUUGUGGGGAGGUGGGGAGAAGUUGGUUAAAGGAUACAAACUUCUAGUUCUAAGAUGAGUGCAUUCUGGAGACCUAAUGUAUAGCUUGCUGACUAAUUAAGAAUACUGUACUGUGUACUUGAAAUUUGCUGACAGUAGAUCUCAAGUGUUUUCUACACACACACACACACACACAAAGGUAACUAUGUGAAGUGAUGAAUGUGUUAAUUAACUUGAUUGUCGUAUCAUCUCACAAUGGAUACAUAUACCAAAUCAGCACGUUGUACACCUUCGAUAUAUACAAUUUUGUCAAUCAUACAUCAAUAAAGCUGGAAAAAAUUUUCUUAUCCAAGGAAUUAAAGAUGAAUAAAUUCUAGCAUUACUAUCAAACGGGAAAAAAAAGAGAGGUGUGUCUCUGCCCUCCCACCAUUGGUCCUUAACUCCAAGAUUAGCUGUACCAGCAUCAGCUCCACCGUCCCCAGAACGCCCACAGGCAGGGGUGGUGGCUUAUAACAGGAGGAACAGCCACUUGCAACCCCCAACCCUGCCCCUUCCACACAGGCCACUUCAGGAUUGCACCGCCUCAGGGGUUUUCGCUGAGAGAGGCUGGAUGAAAACCAGCAAAAUUCAGAAGGGCAGGGCUGUGAUGUAUGAUUUUAAAAAGAUGUUGUGGAUAGUUGGGAGGCAGGAUUGGAGAUGGGAUUAUCAAUUCAUUCCUCACUUUUUAAAUUCGUUUUUUCUUAUGGUAAUUUUCCCAUAACAUAAAUGGAACCCUUUUAAAGCGUGUAAUGCCGUGGUGCUAACUACAUUCACAGGGUCGCACAGCCGUCCCCUCUCUCUAGUCUCCAAACAUUUUUAUCAACCCCAAAGGAGACCUCCACACCGACCUGUGAAGCCGAGGUUCAUUUUAAUUAGCAAAAAUACAGGCGUCAACAGUUUGAGCGCCAGUCUGCAAUCAUUUUUUGAAAAAUGAUUCUGUUUCCUGUAUCUUACGGGGCUCCCUGUCUGUUAAUGGUCAAUUCAUACUGUUUGCGUGGCCUGAUAGCAAAUCUUACCCGCUAGAUGGCACCAAACACUAGCAUUUUCCUGCUUAACUCAGAAGCAGAUUAUUUUGGACACGUCCUAAUAUUUUCCCCCAAACCCUCAUGGGAAGUUUAGCUGGAAGGUGGACAAAUGUGAAUGGCGAUGAUUCCAAUGGAUCAUCCAUACAGAUGGUUUUCAGGAUCCCUUCUUGUUAAGUGGUUGAAGAGAUGUGUGAACAUUCCCAAUGACAAGCACCAACAGCCAAGGAUUCCAGCCCUUAGAGCAGGGUGACCUUCUCACCCUCCAGGAAAACUUUCCUCUCUCUUCUUGGCCAGCAUCGUAUGAGCAGCAGCCUGUCAGCGACUCUGAAGCCUCUGUCUUCUGCCGUUAGCCAGCGAGGCCCACAUCUCUCAUUGGAGAGAUCAGCUGUUGUUUUGUUCUUGGGGCAACUCACAAUUUGUAGGAAACAGCAGGCCCUUCUUCCACAAUCCCUAAGCCACUUGUCAACCAGGUAAACUGGUUAAGUGUUUUCUCAGACGAUUGAUUGAUUGAGCACAAAUAUGAGGUCCUUACCCAACUCCUUGCCCUGCUGUCCUGAGCAUCUCUCUUCUCAGCACGCUGAUAAAACCAGAAAAUGUUCUACAGGAACGUUUGUUACUACGAGGAAGAAGAUUUGAAAUAUAAAAUGGCAAUGUCAAUACCCACUGUCUUAUUCCUUCUGGUCUGAUGUCAUUGGUUAAAAAAUAUAUUUUGGAAAUUAUUUUUGAGUUUCCUAAGGGCAUCGUAAAGUUUUCAUACCAUCCCUUGAUGAAAAAUGAUCUGAUAUAUUGCCAAAAACCCAAAUAGUUUUGGAAAGGAUGAAGAUUUGUCUCUGUGGAGGUGUUCUCAAUAAUACCUUAAAUAAAGGGAGGUCCCAGUGGAAGUGGGCAGAGUAUACACAUCAAAUGGCUAGGUUCUGAAAACCUUUCCAGUGAGAAGGAAGUUCCAAGGAUGUUGGAUCAAUAGCAGCACCUCUGAAUAUGUGGAUAGCUCUGUGGACGUGACUUUGAAGGAGUCAACAGACUUUGUGUGUGUACGUCUGUAGAUUUAAGCCAAACGUGUAUUUUGGAAUCUUCAGCACUGCCACUUGUAUGUCAUGCCUGGUGCUCCCCCAAACUCGUACUCUCUGCUGGCCUCCAUACUACACACACGGGUCCUAACAUGGAAGCUGAAAAUAAAUACAUUUCUGUAUUCUUCUUACUCGGCUAAUACCAUCAAGUGGAAAAUGAAGACAUCACAUCACUUUCUUCACUCAAUCCUUCAAUAGAAAUAUGCUGGAGAAUCCAAGGGCAUUUUUGCUCAUUUUGGUUUUGCUCUGGGGGUUUAAGACACAUUCUUAGCCGUCUCCAUGUUAAUUGGCCACGAGUAUUUUCUUAGAUUAUUCUGAAUUAAUGAUUCCACAUUUUUUUUCUUGUACAAAUAUGUUGAGUAUAGGUCUAAGCUAGGUAAUAUAAUCCUUUCUGGCUUCCUAACAACUCAUAAACUUAAAGAAGAGAUUUUAUUUUUAAUUCAUUGUAAAUGGCUCAGGUCCCCAGAAAAUAAACUCCUUUUAGAAUUUGUGAACUCAUUGUAAGAUGAGUUACGCAUAAUGAGUAAUAACCCAGAUACAAGGAUUAUGUAAAAUAUCUACACAGAAAAUACCGCAAGAAAUCAACACCAGAGAAAAUGAAAGAUGUAUCUGUGUUUGCUUUAUAGGAUACCAAAAUAGUCACUAAGUGCAAAAAUUACUUAUGUUUGGGGCAGGCCCUGUGGCCAAGUGGUUAAAGUUCUGCAUGCCCUGCUUCAGCGGCCUGGGUUUGUGGGUUCGGAUCCUGGGUGCAGACCUGCUCUGCUCAUCAGCUGUGCUGUGGAGGCAUCCCACAUGCAAAAAGAUAGAGGAGGAUUGGCACAGAUGUUAGCUCAGGGCUAAUCUUCCAAAAGCCAAAAAAAAAAAAAAAGAAAAA